AAGAAUUUAAGGUAAUGAAUGACAGAAAAUCAGAAAUCAUGGAUCAAUAAACAGAGAAACAAAAUAUGAAUGAUAGGCAGGUAGCUAGAUAAGCUUAACGGAUAAUUUUUAUUAUUUUGGGUUUUUUUUUUUUUGUGUGUGUGUGUGGGUGGGGGGGGGGGGGGGGGGGGGUGAGUGGAGUGUGAUGAUACUCCAAAUCCAAAAUUAAAUAUCACAAGGUAAGCCACAAAAUUUCCAUGCAUCAAACCUCUGGAGACUGUCGGUGCAGCAUAAAAGAAUGGAUUUGGAUAGCUUAGGCAACAGUUGUAUCAGAUGUGUUCCUUAAUUACUCUGAAAUCCUUCUCUAUGCUGAUAAAUUUCCAAAUUAUGCAUUAUAUGUUUUGUUAGCAAAGAAAGUUAAUAUCAUAUAUCUGCAAACAACGGGUGGGCGAAGUCAUGGAUUUUGCUCUUUAAUCCUCAUGUAAUACCUGUAAAGGGCUAAGUAAAGGAGGUAACAGAUUUGCUGUUGAUCCAGCUUGAGUUGCUGAGGCAAAGGGAAAAAUCCGGCCAAGAAGUGACCCAGACACAAAGACAAUAUUUGCUGCAAGAUCAAUGGAGAAUGAAUCAGAAAUGUUGAAGCCAUUAAAAUUUGAAACAAAAACAAAAGAUAUUUUUGAUGAUUUUAAUUUACUAAUCCAAUAUGUAUAUACAAAUAGUUGCUGAUACAACAAGACAGAUAGAUGCUCUAAGAGUAAGGCAAACUUUGCAAGAAAAACAAGCAAUACACUCUAGAAAGUAAUGAAGUGUAUCCAGAAUAGUUAAUGCACUUGAUUAUGACAUUGCAAUGAGUGGGCCCCGAUAAAUAGGCUACUGUUGCUGCACUGUAGCAGGAUAUUCAUGCUUAAGAUUCCAUAUUCUUAGGAUUUAAUCAGACAAUGUUGCUUCCGAAUUACUUUUAAGGUCUAGUUAAUUUAAUUCCGUUUAGCUUAUCCAAAAAGGGUAAUUCCGUUAAGUUGGACCCUUGCAAGGACAAGAAUAUUCCAAGGUUGACUAAGAUAUUAGUCUUACAUAUUUUAUAGCAUUUUCUCGGUUGUUAUUAGAUGCUAUAUUUCACCUUUCUUAUAAUUCCAUCAGAAGUAUUUCCUUCUUGUGGGCCAAUACCAUGUUCAUUAUGGGAAAUUGCAUCUAUUUGAAAAAAAUAAAGAAAAGCAUAUGGGAAACAGCAUAGAACAGAAUCCCCAUAAACCUAUCUUCCUUUUGAGGUUUGGCAUGUAGGGAAAGAGCAAAGAUGCUAAAACUUAGAGAGGCUUUUCACAAGCCUAUCAUCCUUGCUUUCUUCCACCUCAAGAAAACUACAUAUCCCCCUGGAUUGGCCUCUUACCUUUUCCCAUAUCCCUAUGGACCCUGAAUCUUUUCUUAACGUAGGAUUAAUAGCAAGAUACCAAAAGUAACAAAAGGGUUUAAUUCUCCACCUAUUCUUACUGCUUGCUGCACCAUUCCACUUCUUCAAUGUGUCUUCUCCCACUCUAACCUCUCACAUGAUGCUUCUUGUUCUACUCAUUUAGCUUUCAUCAUCAAUCCAUAAGGAAGGAAAACAUAAAUAGACAUAUUAUAAUGUUGUGACUGCCCUGGAUUUUAAGUAGUUUUAGGCAAUCAUCUCAACACCAUAUCUCAUAUUAGUCAAUAAAACCCUCAACAUGUUAUUUACUACUGCAACUACGUCUCAACACCAAGCUAGUUGGGAUUAGAACAAUAAAAAUAGCUCUACUUUUUGUAGACCUAGUAAGUUUCCCCAUGAUGGGUUAAAUUAAACCGCAUGCUCCAAUCCUGAUGGUGCCCUUCCGUCAAUUCCUUUAAACUUAAGCCUUGCGAUCAUACUUCCCCGUAACCUAAACAAUUGCUUGAUUCUAGAAGCAAACUCAUAAUUUUGGCUUUUGUUGAACUCGCUUGACAGCUACUCUACACCUUAUGUUAUCUAUUGAUCUAUACUAAACGAAUAACAACAACUUUAGACUUCUGAAAAAUGCCUCAAGAGAAUGAGAAGGCAUGCAAAGUAGUUUCAAAGAAAGAACUAUACCAAGAAAUCUCACUAGAUUAGGCAAGAGGAUUGACCUAGACGACACUAUCUAGUUAAUGAAAGGUCAAAUAUAUUUUAAAGGACAAGGGUAUCAAGAAAAGGCUUUACAAACUGCAUAAUACAACUACUGCUACAAUAACAACAACUACAACUAGUAUGCCUCAAUCCCAUGCUAGUCAAGGACACUUUUGUCUCUAAGUGGAGCCCAACUUGCCCCAGGUCCUUGCACGGAAGUUGGAAGAAAGUAAACAUAAUUGCAUCUCUGAUCCUUCAACAUGUAUUUGAAACUCUUGACCUUGAAAUGGAUUUUCUGGUUUCAAAGGUGGGUUGGUUGUCGUUAGACUUAAAAUAUCAACCGUUUCAUUUCUCUGUGGUAUACAAUUCACGUUAAGGUGCAGCUCAGAGAUUUAAGAACUACCAACAUUUUUUUCUUUUUUUGAUAAUGGUGGUGUCAAUCCACAGUAUUACUAUGAUGCCUUAGGUAGUAAAUAGUACAUAGUUUGGUACGUUGUCAAUACGGCUCCAAUAUAGGAAUACCAAACACCUUAAUAUACUAAUGUGGAACUAAAAAAAAAAUCACUUUCUCAGAAAAGAAAUGGCAGAAUAGACAAAUUUAGGCUUGCAUUUUGCAAACAGAAGCUGAAAGUCUUCACUUUGGAUACAGUAAGGGUAUCUUUCAUCAGAGGGACCUGACAGGUGAUGACUACUAACUCCUAAAGUCCCAAAUGCACUUACGAAUCCAAAGCAAGAAAAUAUGUUUUAAGUGGAAGUGAAGAAUUUUUCCAUCUGGAAAAUGGUCCAUUUUAUCUCCAGAACAAAGGAUUAACAAAAUACUUAUUGGAGAGGAAAUGGUUAACUAAUUCAGCAGGGAGGGUAAUACUACCCGUGUAGUCACUAGUCAUGCUCUACGGAUAAUUCAACUACAUAAGUCGGCAAGUAACUGCAUUGUGCAAAAUACACAAAGAGCAUAACAUCAAAAUCACAAACUAAUGAAAUCACACCUAACCAUUGCGCCCAUUGAGAAAUCAGAUGAGAAAAUAGCAGCGUCCAGUGCAGGCGUUCCUGCCUUCGCCCUUCAUCCAACACAUCUUCGAGUGUACAUACCUAUAAUACAAAGAAUUCCCAUUUCACAAUCUAAUCCAAAUUUUCUCUACCAAAGCACAAAAUACCAAAAAGAGAAACUUUUAGCCACAUAACUCAAAAGAUUAUCAACAAAAAGCCUAUAAAAAGCAAAAUUAAUUGAAACCGACAAAAUCACAAAAUAACGCACAAAUACUCCAAAUAAAAGAGAAACUUUCAGCAACAUAAUUCAAAGAAGAGUAUCAUCAAGAACCCUAUCAAAAACAAAAUUAGUAAACUAAUCAUAAAAUAAAGCAGGAAUAUUACAAAAAGGCAAAACUUUAGAAAGAUAAUUCUAAAGAUUAUAAACAAAUAGCCUAUAAAACACAACUUAUAUUUAAAAAUAAACCCAGAAUUACCUGAUCACUGUCAUCAUAUUUAUUACACCCAAGUAAAGGCUCAUUUAAACCAUCAUCAGAGCCCAAAGAAUCAAAAUGCUCAUUCUUUUUGCCACCAACAUCCCCAUGAUGUAGCCUUCUCCUCAAAGUUGUUGAUGUCAUGAGUCUAUAUAUAUUCUUUGAACUCAAAACCCACUUUGAUUUCUCUAAUCGAAACCCAAAAAUUUGAGAAAAUUCCCAAAAAAAAUUCUCCUUUGAGAAUUUGUGUUCUUUUCUAUAGUAUUUAUAAUUAAUUUGCUGCUUAUUUUUCUUUUUUUGUCAGUGUGUUUAAAUUGUUUCUUUCUUGGGAAUUAAGGGAGGGGAGAUAGGUGAUGAAUGCACGCCAAUGAGAAAGCUUUAACGAGCUGAAUGGGUAGGUUUGAUUAAUUAAUUGCCGAUUCCGAGUCUUUGAGAUCUGGUUAUCGGGCUUGGGUUACCGGUCAAGUAAUAGUUUUUUUCUUUUCUUGAGUCAACUUUAAUACUUAAGGGGGUCAGUUUGUGAAAAUAGCACGGCCCAGCCAUACGCCAGUUUUUGGUAAAAAUAGCACGGUAUAUGAAACCCAUCAACAUUGGGAACACAUAUCCGGCCCUACAUCCGCAACACCCCAUUAUCUAUAAUAGAAACCUCCUUAGCAUUGCCGUGCUACAUUGUGUCCUUAAGGGCAAGCAAAUAGGGGUUGUCAUACUGACGCGCUCUAAUGCGCUCAUACAGAGAAGACCGAAAAACCACACAAGNNNNNNNNNNNNNNNNNNNNNNNNNGAUUGGAGCACCGGUGCUCCAAACUCCAGUAUAUUAUACCGGACAAUUAUACAGUAUAAUAUGCUGGAGUUCAAACAUACUUAUGCUGGAACUCCAGUAGAAUAUACUGACGUAUUUUUCGGGGUUUUGAACAGUGUUUUCGCUCAGAUUUAUCUUUACAUGAAAAGUGGCUAAAUUUCGAUUACUUUUGAAACUGGGCUAUUUUUGAACGACCAGUUGUAAAUCUGGCUAUUUUUGAAUUUCUCCCUAGUUUUUGGCGGGAUUAUUUUACUGAAACACGAAAAAUCUCAGCAUAAUAUGCGGUAUUAUAGAACUCAUAGUACAGUAUAUCACAAGUCCGACACACAAAAAGUUUCAGUAUAAUAUAUUAAAUUAUUGAGCUCUUGCAUAUAAACUUCUUGCAUAUUAUGUUGGAACUCCAGAACAUUAUGAAAUUCUAGCACAUUAUGUUGGAAGUUCAUAUGUAAAAAUUCGAACUCUAGCAUAUUAUGCUGGAAUAUUUCCGGACUUUUAAAGAGUUGUUUUGUUCAGAUUUUAUCUUUACAGGAAAAAGUAGCUAAAUUCUAAUUACUUUUGAAACUGUGGCUAUUUUUCAAUUACCAGUCGUAGAUCUGACUAUUUUUUAUUUUUUUCCCGAUCAAUUUUGAAAAAAUUGGCUGACGUGGUCCAGCUAUUAAAGUUUGGAAUAUUUAAAACAUGAUAGGAAAAUACAACAACAACAACAACAACCCAGUAUAAUCCCACAGGUGGGGUCUGGGGAGGGUAAUAUGUACGCAAACCUUACCCCUACCCCGGAGGGUAGAGAGACUGUUUCCAGGAGACCCUCGGCUCAAAAAAGCAAUAGGAGCCGAUAUAUUAGUACCAUAAAAAUGCAUAAUAAAAUAACAGCAAUAUAAGAGAUAUGAAAUACAGAAUACGUAAUAAAAUACGUGAUAGGAAAAUACUGAAUGGAAAUAACAUGAGGCAGCCACUUUUAAACAUGUUAUUUAAAACAUUUUAACUGUAUUGGUCUAAAUUUGACAACUUGGUAACGGUAGAUAAACAGGAUCGAGGACGGAGUCGACCACGACGUAAUAACGGGAAGCCGUCUUCGAGAAGACCGUUGUCAAAGACGAGCAGCUGGAGUAAAGAAAUAACGGUAGGAUAGGUUCAGAAAUGGACACAAGGAAUAUUCCUUUGGAUAUUCCUUUUUUGUACUUUUUAGAGUUUUUUAAAAAUAUCCCUAAUAAAUAGGAAGAGAUAUAGAACGAAGGGGGAUCUUCACUUUUUGAUAAAAGCAUAUUGUAAAAGGUUUACUAUAAGGAAUAUAAAAAAGUUGUUUGGUUCACUGAUUAUCGGAUUGAAGCACACGUUAUUUAACCUUUGUUCACAAGAUCCAAAGAUUUCUUAUCCAUUCUUACUUCUCAUUUUUCCACGUCGCUUACAGGAGAAAGAACCAUCCAACUCAUAUAAUAAUUGGGUGGUAGAUUCUUUCUUAUUAUAUUUAUUGUCAUUAUCUACAUUUAUUGCAUGUUCAUGUUACAAUAUUUAUGGAUAAUCAUUUAGCACAAAUAUGCUAUUUAAUGCUCUCAAACGCCGUUCAUCUUACCAAUAUCCUGCAAUAUUUGAUCUAGAAUUUAUUAUAUUUAACUAAGAUUCACCCUCCGUUUCAUCAUUAAUUAGUUUAACAAAAAACUUAACACUUUUUGGUCAAAUAAUUUGGCACCGUCUAUGGGGAGUUGUUUAGUUGAAAUUUUUAGUUUCUUCUAGAUCAUAAAGAAGGACAUCCAUCUUUUUCUCGUUUGCACAAACUAACAACGGCAGAGAAAGGAGAUGAAAGAUAGAAAGUAAUAGUGGGUGUCACUACUAAUAUCUUAAACACCAUCAACGAGGACGACAUAGGAGAUGAGGAGAAUGUGACGCCGAGUGCUACGCCCAAGCAGAGUGAUUCACCUCCCCCUCAUGGAAGUGUAACCGCUUCACGCGAAAGGGGAGCUUCCACGUCCACAGCUAAGGAAGCGCCACCAACAGUGAAAAAAUUACUGGAAGAAUGGCUAACAAGCACUCUAAAUAACAUACUUGACAAACCCGUUCAACGGGCGAAUAGGAACGUCAUACAGACAGAUACCACAACGAUCGCCGACGAGCAACCUGCUCCCCCAACAUGUAACACUCACACUGCUGUUGAUGCAAGUAAUGAUGCACUUGCGGCCAUCCUAAAGAAAAUGGAAGAAAUGAAAAACGAGAACAAAGUACUCCGCGACCAGAUGAGGAAACAUCAAGAAAGGGUCGAUAAGAUAUCGAGCACCCCAAAACUGCUGCCAAAACGAGAUGUCGGUCGAUUUAUCGAACAAUCGUAUAGCGAGGAGGCAGCCUCGCAUGCCAUACCCAAGACCUUCAAAAUGCCACCGUAUUUGAAGAUAUAUGAUGGCACCACAAACCCCGAAGAUCACAUCAUUCAUUACGUCACAGCGGUAAAAGGCAACGACCUUCCAAAGGAGCAGGUGCCAUCAGUAUUACUGAAAAAGUUCGGUGAGACCCUAACGGGGGGAGCCCUAACAUGGUACUUACAAUUGCCAACAUGUUCAAUCACAACGUUUGAAGAAAUGGCCGACAAGUUCGUCACCGCCCACGCUGGGGCUAAAAAGGUGGAGGCUAGGGUGAAUGAUAUAUUUGUCGUUAGGCAAUCGCGUGGCGAGGGACUCAGGGACUCAGGGAACGAUAUAUUCGUCGUUAGGCAAUCUCCUGGCGAGAAUACUGAUACUUAUGUCAAUGCAAAACGAAUAGGUUUUUGAAAUAGACCCUUGUAAUACCUAUAGGCAGGAUAUCUAAUGAGAUUAAAGCAAUGCUGAAAGAACCAUUUUCAGGAGAUGUUAUCGCUUAAUAAGACCAGUUUUGAAAAGUAAACUAGGCGAGAUGAAAUCGACUUAUUAGACUAAUUAGAUUUUUAGACGUAAUUACGAAUAGAAAUCCCUGUAGGCAUGAUAUCUAGGCGUGUUAGUGGUUUUAGGCAAUUUGUAGUAACAUGUGAAAAAAAACUUAUUGAAUCAGAGUUUUGUCCUAUAGGCAUGGUAUCUAUACUUGAAUUGAUUUAAAACAUGAUGGCUUGGAACCUAGAAACAUGAUUUCUAACAUGACAAAUGCAGGAUUUAUGAACAUGGUUUAUAUCUGAUGCAAAUGACAUUAAAAGUGAAAACCUAUAGGCAUGAUGUCUAUUAUGCAAAAUGAAAUCAGAUUCAACAAGAGUCACACCCUAUGAACAUGUUUUCUAUUGAGUAAAGAAGGCAGAUUUGAAAGUAAAAUCCUAAGAGUAGGAUUUCUACCCAUAUUACCCCACAAAGUAUACAUCUACCCACCAUUUUACUAAAUUACCCCGAAUAUUUGUUUACAAAAUAUUACAGGCCAACAAAUGAAUUACAUAAAUGAAAUAGCAAACUAAGAAGCUAUUCUAUAGGGAGCCUGCAAUCAGGCCCACGUUUCCCAAAGCCUCCAAUGGUCUUUCAAACCUCAUUUCUAUAGACAAAUCAGAGUCUAGGUGCAUCAAAGUUCCCUAAGGGUCUCAAGGACCCCGGGCAAUGCUUACACCUAGACUUAGUAGCCAAGCAUUGAACCAGUGCAGUGUGGAAAGCCAGCCUUAGUAUGCCAGAGUUCCAAGGGUUCUCAAGAGGAUCCCAAGGCAGUACACAUACUAGAGGGGUAGAACUUAUUAACUAAGAGUAGAGUGAAAGUGCAAGACUCAUGUUUGAAAGAAGUUUAUUAAAGACUGGACUCAAAAGUUUGUUUUGAAAGUAAUUAGUAACAGAGAUUGCUGAAAAGAAGUUGGAAUAGUAAACAGAUUUCAAACACUUCAGGAUAGGACCACACACAACAAGUUCACAGAAUAUAAAUGUAUUUAGUAAUCACACAGGGGUUAAGGGGUUGGGGAUACACAGACAUUGCCUGCAGACACAUGACCCCAGCAGGAGUAUUAGGACUGGUAUGGACAUGCUCAGAGAUAGCUUGACACUGGCAUAAUCACAAACCAGUCAUGAGGAACAUAAACACUUAGAGGGGAAUAGGGAUUUGGGAUUCACAAAAUGGUAAGUGCACAGUAGGUAAAGGAAAACAAUUGUCCAGGCAUGCUUGAAUCAUACAAGGGAAAACAUGAACUUAAAGGGAGGUGAGUCAUACUAGCAUGCUUAACUACAGACUUCACAACAAAACCAUAAGUCAAAGCAGGCUAGAAAUAAAAGAAACUGAAACAAGAAGAGAAACAUGUUGUUGUUAUGGCUAUAAUCAAAACUAGGACAUACCGGUGAAGAUAGAAGUAAGCAGAAUGAAAGAACCAAAGAGCACAGAUAAUUAGCCUUGGCUUGCAGCCGGCUAGUAGUAAUAUAAUAAUACAGAGAUUUUAAAUAAGAGAAGGGUUUUUUGGAAGCCAAGUCUAUCUUGUUUGUGAAAGACUUAGGGUAUUUAUAGUUGAAAGUAGCUAGUGGAAUAAGGUAAAAAACUUAGUAGUAUACUAAUUUAAGAACUCAGAAUCAAUCACUUAGAGAAUCAACGAAGUACUUCCUUGAGUUAGGGGAAUCAAGGUCAAACGGGAAGAUUCAAUACCAUAUAAGGGGGAAAGGAGGAAUCAGUGCAUAAUUAAACAAGGAAAGGAGCCAGAGUCCAUUAGGCAUAAAAUAGUCGAUUAGGACCAAAUUCAGAAAGACCCAAUUAAGGAAAGACUAAGUAAAACCAAGUAUCGUAGUAAAUAAGGUAAUAAAAUCAGUGAAUUCAAACAGACGAGUAGAAUUCUAGGAUCUUGAAUGAAAAUCUUUCAAUUACCAACAGUUAAGGAAAAUCAGAAUCAAUCAUGAGGGGUCAUGAUUCUGCAUGUUUCAACAUAUAAAUAGAGAUGAAUGAACAGAAGUAGCAAACAAAACAAGGCCAAUUAUAUAGGCAGAAAGAAAUAAGAGAUGAGCAAACACAGUCAUAUAGAGGCGAUGUAAGUAGGCUGGAGAUUCAGCAGAACAUAUUUGAAGCAUGGUGAUCAUGAGAGAUUAACAAGACCAAAGAAAAUCAGGCUAAUACGCAGAGCCAAGGCAAAGAAAAUCAUGCCAACACAUGGAACCAAAAGUGGAGAAAAUCAUGCUAACAAACAGAAGCAAGUAAAGGGAAUCAUGCUAACAUGCAGAAACAAGUAAAGCAAAAUCUUUAACACAAGUAAAGAAAAUCAUGCUGACACACAGAACAAGUAAAGGAAAUCUUAAAAAAUUAGGGCAUUUUAAUAGAGUCGAGUUAAAAAGCAGUAGGAACAUAAAAUCAAUCAAAAUAAACAAGGGAAAAAGGUUUAAUCAUGAAGAAAUCGGUUGAAACAGGUAUAGAAAGAAUUCCGAAGAAACCCUAGUUUUCAAAGAAAGUAAAAAUGGUUUAGAGUAGAAGAUCUUUCAGAAGAAAGCUCAUGAAUGAGCAAAUCAUAGAAGGAAUCAGGCUCAAAAACAUGAAAAUAACAUAGAUCUGAAAGAUCCAAAAGAGAGUUAGGGUUUCAAAAGGAAACCUAAGUAGAAAUCAAAAGAACCUGUUGCAACUUCACAAAUCGUAACACACGUGGUGUAAUUUUGCCCAAAAUCACACCAGAGAAGCCUCGAACAGCAUAAUCGAAAACCCUAGGUCCAAAUCGUCAUGGCCCAGGGCCCUUGAAUGCCUUAGAGAUGAUGAGCAAGGUGAUGAGAGUGACCACUGGAGGCUUGGGGUUUGAGAGAUAGUCGCCGGAGAUAACUGGAGAAGGAGGUGAAUGGAGGAGUCUAGCGUUAGGUUUGAGAGAAGAGUGGAGAUGAGAGAGCAUCUGAAUGCGGCGGAUUGGAGAAAUGGUUUAGGGUUAGGGGUCGACUAGAGUUAAAAAAGGAAGGGAAUGAUUUGGACCGUUAGGAUUGAAAUGGGUAGGUGGGUUUCAGGUUUGGGUAAGGAUUAUAGGGUAUGGGUCGGGUGAUUUGGGUGUGAAAUUGGGCUGGAAAGGGGUCCAAUUUUGACUAUAAUUGAAAGCCAAAUUUGGUUGUUAUUUAAAUAGCCAAUUUUCCUAUAUUUAAUUUAUAAAAAAUAGUAGGUAAUUUCUGAAAAAUAAAUUAAGGUACCAAAAAUGAUUUAAAAUACACAAUUAACAAUUUAAAAAUACAGGAUCCAAUUUCAUGCAUAUAAACAUAAUUAUAUCUAAAAAUGGGCCAACAUUGCAAUUAUAUGCAAUUUAGCUUUUUAAAAAUACUAAAUGUAAUUGUAAAAACACAUAAAAUUUACGUUAGCCAUAUUUUGGCAUAAAUAUAGAAAUACAAUAAAUGAAUUAUCAAAACAAUAAUUUUGGAAAUAAUUAUUGGGAUUUUUAUGGAUAAAAAGAGAGAAAAUAAAUCAAUUUAAGCUCUUAAAAUUAUGAAAAAAAUAAUGAAAGCCUUGUGCAUGCUUAUAUAUGCAUAUAUAUAUGGUAUUUUAAAGGCAUUUAUGCAUAUUUAAAAUAUAUAGGAAAAAAUUGGGUAUCAACAACUGGCCCUCUUUACCCGGGAAAGAUGAAAGAAUUUUUGGGUAAAGAAAUAAUGGCCAAUUUUGAUCGGAUGGGAUGUUUUGAAAGACAGAGACUGAGCUCCGGUUUCCAAGUAGCCUACAUAUCCCUAGUUUUAUAGGAAUCAGGCCAUGUGUAGUUCUGGAUUCACCUGCGGAGUAUGCCGAUGAAACUACUACAAGAACGGACACGAGAUGUGGGAGCGGCUAUGAUCGGGACGGUUGGAGGGAACUGGAGCGAGAUUGCUCUUGCUAGGAUAGCGGUUGCUUACUGGUUACCUACAGAUAAAAGAUGCUACAAUCAUAUUUACGAAAAUUUAAACAUGAUGCAAAUUCCCUUUGGACCAUGAAGGUUGUCUUCGGACGAUUAAAGAUGACGUCCUUAGACCAUGAUGUCUUGGGUCAUGAAUUGUUUAAUAAGGGAUUCACAGGACAUGAAAUGAUGUUCUCGGUCCAUGAAAAUGGUGUCUCCGAACUAUGACGCCUUUGAAUAAUGAUAUGCAAAUUUGAGAGAUCCUCAGGCCAUGGUAUGGUGUCUUCAGGCUAUGAGGAUGGUACCUUUAGACUAUGAUGCCUUUGGACAGAUUGGCGAUAUUUUAGCCCAUGAUAUGCAAUAAUAUGAUGUAACAAAACAAGAUUUAGUCUUGCGAAGCAGAGGGCAGAGCUCAGCCUAAUUGGAAAACAGGUAGAUAGUAGUAGAAAAUAGAGUAAUAUUGGUGCAAAGAGGGACAACGCUUAGUCCCAUGUGAGUGGGGAGGCAAGGAUUAUCCUUAUGCAAAUGGGGAGGCAAGAAUUAGCCUCAUGCAAAUACGGAGUCAGGGCUUAGACUCAUGCAGGUAUGAAGGCAAGGAUAAACCUCAUGCAAAUAUGGAGUCAGGGAUUAGACUCAUGCAAGAUUGGAGAUAGAGCUUAAUCUCAUGCGAAAGAGAAGGCANNNNNNNNNNNNNNNNNNNNNNNNNNNNNNNNNNNNNNNNNNNNNNNNNNNNNNNNNCGGGGCUUAGACUCAUGCAAAUAUGGAGUCAAGGAUUAGACUCAUGCAAAUAUAGAGUCAAGGUUAGACUCAUGAAAAUAUGGAGUUAAGGAUUAGACUCAUGCAAAUAUGGAGUUAGAGAUUAUACUCAUGCAAAAAGAAAAUAACAGAUAAGGGUAGAAUAUAUCUUAGCUAGGAUAGGUUCAGCGUCUAACGGCCGGAUGGAUAGUCAAUUUGCUUUGUGUACGAAUGCUAUCGUCAAAUGUGCCUGUGUUCAAAGAAAAUUUGUAAGUUUCAUGAGGGGAGGUUGGUUCUUGCUUCGUCUGCCAGCCUUGCUUUGCUCCGCUCUGUAAGCCCCAUUUGAGUUCCCCUAGGUAGCACCUGACCAUUAUGAAAAAUAGAAUUUUCGAAAAAUAUGCAUUCAUUGAUAAAAAAUGGAAUUAUUUUGGAAGCGUAUUGAUAUAUCAAGUAACUUUUGAUGAACUAGCAAAUGUGACAUAUUUCAAAGGCAUCGCAACUCUCUUAUGUUGGAAUUUUGAGGGUCCUCCUCAAAAUUCUACCCCAGUUUGGUAGAUGAUUUUCAACUAUUUUGCGGAUGGUGGACCUUGCUGAAUCUCCUUCGGAAUUUUGAGAAUCCUUCUCAAAAUUCUGCCCCAGUUCUUGACUGAUGACUGACUUCUUGGCACGCGUUGGCAUUGGUUGGACUUGUUCCGGAAUUUGAGAACCCCCCUCAAAAUUCUGCCCCAGUUCUUAACCAAUUUCUGACCUUCUGACAUGCGAUGGUGUUGGCUGGAUUUGUUCCGGAAUUUUGAGGGUCUUCCUCAAAAUUCUACCCCAGUUUCUGAUUUUGGGAAAAAUGAAAAUUUUAUUAUGAUAUGACCAAACCCAUAAGGCUACCUACGUAUUCCCUCUUAAACGGGAAUCAGGUCAAGCGUAGUUCAAUUUUCCUCGGGUAUCCCAUCUUCUUCCUCUGAGUCACUAUUCUCAUAUUGCGUUGCCUCAUUACAUGUCACAGUCACUGGUGCAUCAGGAAAAGUAAUAAUAACACUAUAUAAGGGAAAAAGUAUAAAAAUAAUAAUGAAUAAUGAUAAAGGAUGAAUGCAUUUGAUUAAAACUGAGAAAAUUGUUCAAACAAAGCUUGGCUCGGUGAAUCGGGCAUUUAUUUUGAAACAAAGAAAUCUCAAAACAAAAUUGCAGGAAAUUUUAAAUGCCUAGAACGGCUAUAAAUUCUGCCAAACUACCCAGGGACUCUGAGGGCUCGGGAUGGUGUGGCGGUCCAAUUUCUGAGGAUAACUCCCUUUGCCACGGUCUGAAUGGAGAGGCAUUCCUCCUCCUCCUCCUCAAUUAUGGCACUGUAGUCCAUAUCCUCAUCCUCCAAGAACAGAUCCUUCAGCCCAGCUAGUGCUUCUUCUUCAGCAGUUCCCCAUAUUGUGUCUGCCUGAUGGAAAGCCUGUUCCAAACGGGGUAUCGGUUGCUUGAGAGGGUAAUAUGGUCCACGCUAUGGAGGCGACCAUUCCCUAUAAUCCUGCCAUGUAUACUGGUAUCCGAGCCCAAAGGUGGUACCAUGAUUUUUCAGUCGUAUCGGCUUGGUGAUGCCUUGGAGGUUCUUUCCCAACCCUUUGCCGGGUUCAUAUCCAGACCAUGCUAGUAUGCUUUCUAUUUUAUUACUCCACCACUUAUCCUUCUCGAUGACAUUGACCUAUUCAAUGUGAUAGUAGGUUUCCCCUCCUAGCCUUCUUCUAAGUCCGAUAGCCGGAAUGGUCUGACUAGUGUAGAUGGGGUUACUCCCAUCUCCAUGAAUGAUUACCUCCUAACGGUUCCAUUCGAAUUUUAUGACUUGAUGUAGUAUGAAGGGUACGACUCCAGCAGCAUGGAUCCAUGGGCGGCCCAACAAAAGACAAUAUGAGGCUGGUAUGUCAAGCACUUGGAAUUUAACAUCAAACCAAGUUGGUCCCAUCUGCAAGCAAAUGUUGAUUUCUCCAAUCGUGGCCCUCUAGGACCCAUCAAAAGCCUUCAAAUUCAUGCUUCCUGUCCGUAUUUCAUGGAAACCUUUGUCCAACCUUUUCAAGGUGUCCAAUGGACAAAUAUUUAGACUUGAACCUCAUCAACCAGGACCCUGGCAAUGAACUUGUCUUCAAAUUGUACAGUAAUGUGCAAUGCUCGAUUGUGAUUCAGAUCCUCAGGAGGCAGCUCGUCUUUGUGGAAGAUAAUCUUAUGGCUCUCCAGCACCUGACCGACUAUGUUGGCCAUUUCUCCACCAGUGAUAUUAUUGAGUAUAUAAGCCUCGCUCAGUACUUUCAUUAAGGCAUUCUUGUGUGCCUCUGAAUUCUGUAAUAGCGACAGGAUAAAUAUCUGAGUAGGAACUUUGUUCGGAUAGUCAACAACAGAAUACUCUUUUGCCUGUACUUUCCUCCACAGAUCAUCCGGCCCGGUCUCAAUGAUAGGUUGCCUAGCAGUGGCAUCCUUACUUGAACCUCCUAGGUGUUUAGGUGUGUAGACUCUUCUAGUUCUAGCCAUCCCUUGUGCGGCGUUAGAUUCCUCUAUCUUAGUCUUCCCUUUUAGCCGAGCAUCAGCGACAUAAUCCCAGGGUAUCGCUUUUGAGUUGAACGGGGGUGUGUUUGACACCGUCAUAGUAAAAGGUGUGACCACUUCUACUUCAAAUGGAGCGGAGGUGGCUACGGGCGGAGCUACUUCCACCUCAAAUGGAACUGAUGUAGUUACCUCAACGUCAAUUGGUGCCUGAGUCUGAACCACAAUAGGAGUAAGUGUAACUGCAACCUUAAAGUCAUCGCCCUCUCGGAUAAGCCCGAUCGACCCCUCGGGGUCCCAUUCCUCAUUCGUUUCUAUGACAUGCACACCAUCGCCUCUAUGAUCAGGGAGGGGAUUGUUGCGGACAUUAGGUGCGACUUUCUUCGCUUGUAUGACCUUGUUGUCAAUGAGUGUCUGAAUCUUAUCCUUCAAUGUUCGACAAUCAGCAGUGGUGUGCCCUUUCAUGCCAGAGUGGUAUGCACAAGUUUUGUUCGGAUUGACCCAUUGGGAUGGAUUUUCCAGUGCCACAGAGGGAAUAGGAGUGAUGUAACCUGCUGCCUUUAACCUUUCAUACAACUGGUCGAUGGGCUCAGUAAUGGCGGUGUAUUAUCUGGGUGGCUUGUGGUCGAAAUUGGGUUUUGGUCUUGGAUAAUUUUGGCGAUUUGGUGGUGAUUGGAAGUGGGAUGGUUGGGAAUUGUAGGUAUGAUGGACAUCGGCUAGUUGGGAAUAUCUGGGAAAUGAGGGUUGAUAUGUAGGUGGUGAUGCUUGGUAUGUGGGUGGAGACGCUUGGUAUGUGGGUGGAGGUGCUUGGUAUGUAGGCGGAGGUGUCUGGUAUGUAGGUAGGGGUGUUUGGUAUGUGAGUGGAGUUUUUGGGCCAUGGGCCACCAUUACUGCCCCAACAUCUUUUUUCUUCGAUAUGCCACCUGAUUGGAGUGCCUUAUUCGUGGCUUGCAGUGCCUCAAAAUUUGUAUACCGAUCUUGAUUCCUUCCUCGAUCCUUUCCCCGAGCUUGAUGAUAUCAGAGAAUUUGUGAUUUUCGAUGACCAUCAGUCUCUUAUAAUAUUGUGGAUCCUGUGUUCUGACGAAGAAUUUAUUCAUCUGUUCUUCGUCCAAAGCGGGCCUGACCUUGGCGGCUUCCGACCUCCAACGAGUAGCAUAUUCGCGGAAAUUCUCAGUAGGCUUCUUCUUGAGAUUCUGAAUGUAGAAAACAUCAGGUGCAUUUUCGGUGUUGAACCUGAACCGGUCCAUGAAAUCUGACACCAUGCUUGCCUAAUUGGACCAUUUCUUGGGAUUCUGGCUGAUAUACCAAGACAAUGCGUCCCCAGUAAGGCUCCUCAUAAAGAGCUUCAUCCGAAUUUUUUCAUCUUUUCCAACCCUAACUAGCUUAUCACAGUAAGUCCUUAGGUGAACCCUGGGAUCACCUGUACCAUCGAACAUUUUGAACUUGGGAGGUUUGUACCCCUCUGGCAAUUCCACGUCGGGCUGUAUGCAUAGAUCUUCAUAUUUUAAACCUUCUAUUCCCAUAUCGCCUUCGACACCUUGAACCCGACUUGUUAACUUCUUGAGUUCUUCAGCCAUGUUCUUAAUGAGCAGGUCCCUUUCGGAGGGUUCCGUUGCACAGGAGAUCGGUUGCGUAGAAUAUGGUAUAGUUUCCACAUAUAUGGGGUUGCUCUGAUGGGUGCCAAGAACUUGAGUAUAGUGAUGGUCAUUGGUGGAGUUUUGUGGAUCUGGAAUGAGUGGUGGUGUAUUUUAGGGAGUGUGGUAAGUUGUGGUUGGUGGGUAUGGAAUUUGUGGUGGAGUUGGUAUCGGUAAUGGAUUGACAUUUUGAUGUGGAGUUGCGUAUUGAUUUGGUAUGGUAGGGUUUUGUGGCUAUUGGUUUUAAGGAGGUGUUGGGUUCUUUGCAUUCUGUUGGUGGAUAUCAGGGACAUUGAGGGUGAUUGACAAGUUAGCCAAAUUGCAGACCUACUCAAGUUCUCCUUGCAGUUCUAGUAUCUUUUGUUCAAGUCUCAAAACCAGGUCAUUCGGGGCCGGGGCACUACGGCCAUCAGAGUUCUUUGCGUUCUCAAUGUUUUCCUUUCGAAUUCCACUUAAGUCGUCCAUCUUUGAUUUCCCUCUGCUUUUUGUGUUGCUUGGAGGAGGAUGAGGUGGAGGGCCUCUAGAUCUGGUAUGAUAUGCUGACGAGGCCAGUAUGGACGAACCAACCUAUGGGGAUGAGAAUAAUAAUUAUAAAAGCAAACAAACAAAAGGUAACAAGUUAGCGGGGAUCCUGAAAUGUUUGCAAUAUUUAACACAUAGUGUGAAAUAUAAAUUUGUAUCCUAAUUUAGGAGCCUCGUUGUGCCCGAGGUAGGCCUAGCGGCAAAUAAAUUUGGAGAACUUAAAAUGCCAAUAAAUGCUUCAUUUCAUAAUAUAAAAGUAGAUGAAUCCAAAAACGAAACUAACAUAAUAAUAGAACAAGUCACUACUGGCACUUGGCCUUAUUACAUUUUAAGGAAAGCAAGUAAAUCUAACCUAUUUAGUCCUAGAAGGACCUUCCUCAUAUUCGAUCUUCCGGACUCCAUCAAACAGAUCUCCCAGCUCGUGCAGUCCCAGCAGCAAGUAGGCUCGGGCCAGAUGUCCUCCCUCGGCUCCUUCAGCAUUUUGACAGUUUUCAAUCCUUUUUAUGACUUUGCCCUCUAGGUCCACUAUUCCUCGCUCCAGGUAUUCCAGUUUUCUGUUGGAAGUGACCGCCAUCUCUUUCCAUUCCUCGAUCAACCUCACAUUUCUCUCAUGUAUCUCCCGAUGCUCAUUCUCAGAGUCGUGGACUCUCUUGCGCAGCCUGUUGUACUUGACUUGGGCUUCAGCUUCCUCAUCUAUGAUUCUGUUCCCUCGACCAGUCCCCGGUGUUACUGCUCCUUUCAUAUUGUCCUCCAACCAUGCAGACUAGAGAGGCUCGCACCCCGUAUGAUAUUUGUCUGGCUCGAUAGUGUUUUUCUCCACAAUGAUUUUGCAGUGCCACAUGUGCUGAGCUUGACACUUGUAAGGUAUGUCAUUGUCUUGGAAAUCUGCCCUGAAAUGACUCAUCUUGACGACCCUUGGUACAACCUUUUUUCUGCCUACUUGCCUCAUAACUCGUAUAGGAACAUAUGGAUAUAUCCCUCUCAACCCGAUCAACACCAAAUGUGGAGCAUCCCUGGACCUGAUAAUGAACUCGUCCGUUGGAAACUAUUCAACCAUCCACUGCACAUGUUCCUCGGUCAGAUUGUCGAAGAACUCUACCCAUUCUCUGGACUUUCCGGCUGAGUAAAUCUGUCCGAAAUGUAGGUCAUCUGCUUAGGGUGAUGUAAAGCGAUGUGGUCGUUCCAAGCCCUUCACGGAAAUUCUUGGCGAUAACGACCCUUUUGGAGAUGCUCCAACAACCAUAACUGUAGCAACAAGUUGCAACCCUCAAAAUGUUGGACCCCUUUUUGACAGUGCUCUAGGGCCCUAUGGAUAUCAGCUAUGAUCAUGGGGACUAUGGUAUACGUCUGCCUAUUAAUCCCCUCAAUCAGAGUUUUGGCGACCAUGGCCAACCUUGUGUGGAUUCUUCCCUUUUUCAUUGGGAAUACUAUCAUCCCCAGAAAGCACACGAUGAACACGAACACUCUUCGGUGGAUGUGACAUAGUGAAGUAAGGGCGAUCUCAUCAUGAUAAGUGUGGAAGGACUUGCUGUGGCCAUACCUCUCGUAGAUAUAUUUGAAAGAUAUGUAGGAGUCCUUCAGGCACACUAAAUCGACAUUCUUUUCAGUCCCAUCAUUUUCAAAAAACCCCUACCUGUACGGUUUUCUGGUACCAAAAGCCCGGGACUGUCCCAAGUCAACCCGCCAAGUCCUCAUAUUUCCUCUAAGAGCGGUGUUAUUUCUAUGUCGCCGAAUCGGAACACGGCUCUUUCACUAUCCCAGAAUAGGGUGGAAGCCUCGAUCAGUUUCUUGUUUGGUUCAAUAUCUAGCAAGGAAGGCAAAUUAUCUAGGUACUUUUUCACAUGCUUCUUGUCACUUGAGGAAAGAUCUUCCCACCAAUUUAUCAACAAUGGAGGGAUAUUGCUAGUCAUACCGAAUCUGGGGACUUCGUGCCUCAUUUUCUGCAAAACAAAGGGGUUAGGCCUUACCCCCACUGGACUCGACUACUUAUACAUUUACGAUCAGCAUAUCGGCAUUUAGUCCUCCAAAUUAAUGCACAGAACGUGAUUGCGUCCGUUGGGAUUAUGGAAAACCCGAUGGACUUUGGAUAAGGCUUAUCUUAAAGGAUUAUUAUGUGGACAACAUAACUGAUCCAACUAGGUUUGACCAUGAUGCAUGCACAAUUUAAACAGAGUAAGGUUUCUAUGGGAUUUUAGACUGGUACCCUCAAGCGGACAACUUGAGAGGGAAGGCACGGAACCGUCGACUGCAUCGCUGUUCGAUUGGUUUUACCGCAAAUAAGCCUUUCCGAAUUUAAGGGUAACAAAUAGGAAGAGCGCAAACACUCAUUAAACUGUUGCUAUAGAAUUUGAGACGCACGAGUGGAAUAUGAUGCGGAGCAUGAUCUAUGCAGCAGUUAAUAACAUGUAGGCAAGUAUUUUCACGUAGGAAAAAAUAAAUACAACAUUUAAAUAAUUGAAAAGACAAUUACAUAAAAAGGAAAACAAAUAGACAAGUCAGUUUUCAGUGUAAUAAAGGAAUCAUAAACGCUUGAAAAAAAAACCAAAUAGACAAUUAAAUCCAGAUAAGGGAGCAGGGUAUGGGAUAAGCAUGCUUGGAAAGGACAAGUUCGUUAUGGUUGAUCGUAGCCUACUCCGCACCACUAAAAAGUAGAGAGAGAGGGUCGCAAUAGCUUUUACCCGAUUUUGGGUCGGGAUCGAUUUCCACAGAGAGCUAGAAAGGGAGUUGAGUAUCUAUUUAGGUUGGGAUUGCGUAUUGGUUCCAAAUUGCACUUCUAUUCAUUUUUGGGUUUUCUUUUAUAAUUCUACUAUUAUCAAACUACAAAUUAUAAUUGCAACUAGAUUAAGCUAAGAGUAAAAUGCUACAAGUUGUUCAAAUAUUCUAAAAGGCACUAGCGUAGUGACCUUUACCUAGGUGGCCAAUUGACGGGUAAUUGCGUCUAAGACACGAUUGACAUGAUUGAGGAAUAUGUUAUAACUGUUGCUCGAUAUUAUCCAUUCUCACAUCUCGCAGUAGAAAGAAUGAUUUUGCCCAAUUGACUUUCUCAAGACCAAUUGGGUAUGCAUAUUUGCUCAAGCAACUAAGGUUCAAGUCGGGUAUUACUCUCUCGAGGUUUAACCCUUUAAUUGGGACUAUCAAUUCUCUUGAGUCCAUCCCAAUUUCUUGUUGGAUCAAUUUCGGAGACUUAGGCUCUCUUUCUCAAGAAGAGCCCAAGUUAAAUUAGCACAAACUAGUGUUUGCAACCACUGAUUCAGUAAUUAAACCAUGAAAUUGACCCAAAUAGCAAAUACCCAUAGUCAAUCUAGCCCUAAAUUACAACACCUAUCAAUUACCCACACUAGGGUUGAGCCACAACCCUAGCUAAUGGGUCUAGCUACUCAUACUUGAAGAGAAAAACAGAGAAAUAGAUGAAGAUGAACACAUAUUAAUUAAUUGCUAAGCUAAAUACAAAUGUUCAAUGAUAAAAAGUAAGUAAAAAUGCCCAAAAUAGCUACAAGAUAUGUUCCCACGAGCACAACAGCUGUUCUAAAAUGUCUGAUACCCUAAAAAUGAAAAAAAGGAUCUAUUUAUACUGAGCUAGAAAAAUUGGACAAAAAUGCCCCUGCGGGGUUAGUGCAGACCGCACAAAAUGGUGUGUGGCUACACUAGGCUCUUGAACUUAAAAACUUGGCUCUCUGAACUCAGGCUCCGCAGACCUCACAGAAUGGACUGCGGCGGCGGAGGCUUCUAGUGCGGUCCGCACAAACUGGACCGCGGACCACACAUGCUUGAAAGCAUUGACUUCACCCUCUCUGAACCUUGACUCUGCGGACCGCACAGAAUGGUAGUGUGACCGCAUUACCUUUAGUGCGGACCACACAAAACCUUCUGCGGCCGCACUGCCUUGAUGCCUGAAGUACCAACUCUCUGAGUCUCCCUAGUGCGGACCGCACAAAGUGUAGUGUGGCCGCACUAGGCCUGUUUUUCCUAAGUUUGUCUUGUCUUUGGUACUUGUGCAAGUUUCACUCCUUUUGACCUGAUCUUUGACAUCUUGUCACUUUAUUGAUCAAACCUGCAAUCAAGCACAACAUAUGAGCCUUUUGGGACUAUUUUGUAUGAAUUUAUAAUGAAAGCAUAAGCAAGAAGGAGUAUAAAAUGCGUCAAAACUCCUAGUUAUCAACUCCCCCAAACUUAAGCUUUUGCUUGUCCUCAAGCAAACAAAAUAAGACUCACCCCUUAAGGGAAAAUCCAAGAAAUUUCAGUUGUCCUAAAGCAACCUCACUAGCAUCAAUUGGGACUAACAAUUGCCCUCAAUACAAAAGAGUUAUUAACAAUAUUUAACCUUUGAAAAACCAUGGAUCACUUGUGACACAAGAGCUUCAAGAAUUGACUCAACACAUCAAAGAACUCUCUCAAUUACUUUGGUCAUUGUGGAACCCAAACUUACACAUCCUCAACUCUCCUUAAGCAAACCUCACCUUUAGAAUAUUGGCAGCAAAACGAGGCUAAUGGAAUUCCACUCAUCUCUCUCAAGAAAAAGUCACAAGUCCAGCUCUAAGUAUCAUAUACUUGCCCCUUAUGUGAGUAUCCACUAAUGUAAGCUUCAUUCAACUCAAGAUCGUAUAGGGCUUUUAUGGAAAUAUUGUGAAGCUUUUGUUCAGGGNNNNNNNNNNNNNNNNNNNNNNNNNNNNNNNNNNNNNNNNNNNNNNNNNNNNNNNNNNNNNNNNNNNNNNNNNNNNNNNNNNNNNNNNNNNNNNNNNNNNNNNNNNNNNNNNNNNNNNNNNNNNNNNNNNNNNNNNNNNNNNNNNNNNNNNNNNNNNNNNNNNNNNNNNNNNNNNNNNNNNNNNNNNNNNNNNNNNNNNNNNNNNNNNNNNNNNNNNNNNNNNNNNNNNNNNNNNNNNNNNNNNNNNNNNNNNNNNNNNNNNNNNNNNNNNNNNNNNNNNNNNNNNNNNNNNNNNNNNNNNNNNNNNNNNNNNNNNNNNNNNNNNNNNNNNNNNNNNNNNNNNNNNNNNNNNNNNNNNNNNNNNNNNNNNNNNNNNNNNNNNNNNNNNNNNNNNNNNNNNNNNNNNNNNNNNNNNNNNNNNNNNNNNNCAUUUUUGUGCCUUUUUACCACUUUAUUGCCAUCUUCGUCUCUCCCCCCAAACUUACACUUUUGCCAUGUGCUAAAAGAAAGAUUGGGUGCCAAGAGAGGGUAUCUUUUAAAAUGGGUAUAGGCUUGUAUCAUGGUUCUUGAAAGAAAAAGGUCUAAGGCUCAAAAGGGGUAACUAGGGAUCAUAUCAUUGGUAGGCUAUGGAAUUGUUUAAACUAUCAUUUGGAUCAAGGAGAGCCUAUAAUCACGUAUCAAGUCAAAAUUCACUUAGGAUUUUGCCUCAACAAACAUUCAAGCAAGUUCUAGACCAAUGACUUGGGACUUGGACUCGCAAUUUAAUUACUCACCACACAAGCUAAGAGAUUGCUAAAGACAUAGAGUCGGGGGCCCACAACGACCUUAGAUAUGAUUUGAGCACACAAUGGUCCCGAAAAACCACUUGAUGAUUAUUAGUCAACUCAAGAGUCUCAAGGUCACGACUUUCACCAUCCUAAACACAACAACUUAUUUUUGAUCAUGAAAUCUAAGGCAAAUGUGCUAGGCCUAAGUGAAGCUUUGCUUGAGGUAUCCUUAACAACAAACUACUAAAAACAAAAAGGAAAACAGACUCAAACCCUUAAGAAGGUUAUCACGCCAUCCAUCAUUGGGAAGAGCCACCCAGUUCACACAACACUCUGCCUUUGGAAAGAACCAUGGAAUUAAGAAAACCAAAGGCUUAUUGAAAACGUCCAAAACAAAACAAAAAGCUACGAACAUCAAUAAGAAGCUAAAAACGAAAAAUUUUGCGGAAAAUAGAAUGAAUAUAUACAAGAGGGGAUUUGAAUAUACAACGGAUGGGAUGAAUAUAUACAAUGUGAUAUAACUUUAUAUACAGACCCAAAGUAAAAUAAAAGUGCAAUAAAUAUAACUAAAUAUCAAAUUAUAUACAGACCAAAGAUGAAAAAUCAAGAAAGCAUAAAAUGUAUCAAUAUAUAUACAGUCAUCCAUCAAAUGAAUAGUAGGGCCUACCCCCUCAAAUGAAAGCUGGCAUUGUCCCCAAUGUCAACUAGUCUAAAUAAGCACCAAAAAGAUAGAGAAAAAGGAUAUAGAAGACUCCCUAAGCCCUGUCUGUCUGCAUAGGAUCAUGAGUGGUCCCUGUGUCCUCUGUGUGCUGGGGAACCUCAGACUGGUUCCCGGUGGUCUGCUCCUUUGCUACUGGGACCUGGGCCUGGACCUCGAUAAGCUCUGGAACUGUUACAUCUUGUGGCUGACUGGAGGAAGUCUCUAGUGGGUCUGCCAACUAGAUGAUAGCAUCAUCAGCUCUAGGAAUCCUCCUCUUCCUCUUCGGAGGCCUCUAUGUCUGCUCUGGCUAUGGGUGAGCUGCUGGCACUAGGUCAUCAAGAAACAAGUAUAAAGGCAGCUAGUCUGCCUUCAGUCUAUCAACAUCUGCCCGCAACACCUUCACGGACUCCUUGGAGGCCCGUGUCUUCCGCAGCUUCUUAUGCUCCUUAGCAAGCUCCUUGAGAGCCUUGCUAUGUGAAUCGACUGCCUUUGAGAGCGCAGCCUGAGUAUCAAGGAUCUUCUUCUGGUUGUCAAGUAUCUCCUUGAGCGCAUCCUCUAUUGAUUGUGGCACCUGUGGAGCUGGGGGAACCGAUUGAGCCUCUACAGUAGUAGUCAAAAUGGACAACUUGGAUGAGGCAGUCUGCAUCUAGUUGUUGAUACUCAAAAGUGCCUAGCUUAGACGGUGGGCAGUAAUAGGAUAGGCCCGGGUAGAUGGGAUCUCCGAGCUUGUUGAUGUGGAUGGGCCAGGAGGAAUGGCUGAGUAUGUGGAUGGACCGGGAGGGAUAUCUGGAGAUGUGGAGGUAUGCUCAGCAGAAGCCACUACCUCAACCGGCUCCUCAAACUGGCCAGUUGGAGCAGUAGUUGGUACUUUGUAGUUCUUGCUCUUGGGGUUGUCAUCCCCCUUCAUGCUAUACCAGGAAAAUGGGGUUGUCGCCUUGACCUUGAUAUCAUAUGGCCUUUUGUCCACAUUCAGGUCUCGGAAGUACAUUGUGAGGAAACUGGGGAAAGGAUAGUUUCGUUCAUGCUCCGCGCCCACAAUAGUGAUAAUCCGGGACAUCACAUUCCCCACAUCUAUGGGGUACCCCGCCAUAAUCGAAGCAACCAAUACAGCCCGGUGGAGAGGAAGGGUGUUUUCAUGAGUGGUAGGGUCCAACCGGCUGCAAACAAAAGUCUCCCAUCCCUUCACUUCAAAGUUUAAGGUCCUUCUCAAUAUUUUGACCCCAGCGGUCAACCAAUUGGAGACGGUACCUGGGAUUGCCAGGUACUGAGCUAGCUAUGGACAGACCUCCUCACCCAUCUCCAUCUUCACCAUAUACAGAGUCUCAUCCUCCUUAUUGAAGCCCAGAUAUUCAUUAAUCGACUUCCUAUCAAAUAACACAUUGAGGUUCCGAACCUUGGUCACUUUGGAGCCCUUUUUGAUGUGGGCUACAUUGCAAUAAAACUCCUUGACCAAGUGUUCGUUGGCAUCCACACAAGCAUCUAGGAAGUUCUCCCAGCCCACUCUAGUCCUGAACUGUCUCUGCAUGUCGGGGUUGUGGGGUAGUAGGUCUCUAUCUAUGAAGCUCAUCUCUGGAAUCAAUUUUCUCACCGGCCACCACUCCCGAAACUUAUGGUAUGCUACCUCACUUACAAAUCUAUCUUCCCAAGCUUUGGGUUGCCUAGUUCUAGUAACGCCUCCUACUUGAGGCUCACCACCUUCAGCUACUCCCUCAUCUCCCUGUAUAUCCGCCUCACCUCCUCCUGCACCCUCCCCGGAUAAUGAAGUUGUGGGAGAUGUGGAGUAUUCCCCACUACCUUCAUCUGAGCCCUCAGACAACCCAGAAGAAAUGUUCACUGAUGCUUGGGCGGCGGGGGAAGAAGGAGGAGUGUCUCUGUGUUUGGCCCUCUCCGGAUACGGGAUAUAUUCUGGGACUAAGUCUGAAGAGAUCUCCCGAGAGGGCUCGUACUCACUCCCCAACAUGUCAAUGGAUCUGUCAGCCGCUUUUAUGGCCUUCCUCAUGUUCUUGAUGUUUUGCCUAGCUUGGGGAGUGAGUUUGACCAUUUUCUAUUUUCCACCCCGGGAGGAUUCACCUCUGCCGGGUUGUUUCGAGCUUUUUCCUCAUUGUUUAACCAUAGCCUGCAAGAACGAUCAAAUGAACUUGUUAAUAUCAUUGCAGCAGCUGAAAUCAGUGUUACAAAAUGAGUUGCAGAUCAGGCAUGAAGAACUGCAUACAGUUGCAAAAAACAGCCUAGUGCGGACCGCACAAAAUGGAGUGCGGCCGCACUGGGGUCAAUACGGACCGCACAAAAUUGACUGCGGUCCGCACAGGGGUGGGGUUCAGAAUACCCACCCUUUAUAUUGUGACAGUGCGGACCGUACAAAACAGUAGUGCGGCCGCACAGGGGCCAGUGCGGACCACACAAAAUGUAGUGCGGCCGCACUGCCCAAUGUUCAGCUUCCCAAAAGUUCUUCAGUGCGGUCCGCACAAAAUGGUACUGCGGACCGCACAAGGGCAUCGCGAACCGCACUAAAACGACCGCGGUCCGCAUUGAGUGCCCAGAUGUGGCACUAAGCUAGGGUUCAUGAAAUUUUUCUUUUAAGUCCAAUUUUUUGCACCUAAUAGGUGUUGCAAAGUGAUUUCCCAAUCCAUUAAGCUAACUAAUUCCACAUGAAUCAAAAUUUAAACUAACCUAACUUAGCAGUUAAGAAAAAAAAUGAAAGGAAGAAGAAAUAGCAGCUAAGAAAACGAAAAUAAAAUGAAAUUGACAAAAUUAAACAAGUAAAAAGAAGAUUAUGGUACAAGAUUAUGAGAUGAAUUGAAGCAAAUAAGUUCCAACAAGUAAUUACGAGCAAGUAAGGGUAGUGAACAGUGAUUAUACUCUCUGAGAUUUCAAAUUUGUGAAAAGUGUAAAAGGGAGCCCUCAGGGUCUAUUUAUAGAAAAGCCCCUAGGGCCCAUUCUCACCAACCAGUGCGGACCAUACAAAAUGAACCGCGGUCCGCACUGCACAAUUAUGUUCAAACUUGAGAAGGCAAUGCUCUACGGGCCGCACAGAAUGGACUGUGGCCGCAGAGGUCCAAUGCGGACCGCACAAAAUGUAGUGCGGCCGCACUGGCAAACUUCAGAGAGGUCUCGAUUCACCCUUCACCAGUGCGGACCGCACAAAAUGUAGUGCGGCCGCACUGACAACUUCAGAGACUUACACUGUCUUACACUGCAUCAACACAACCCUGUAAUAUCUCACAACCAGUUAGUCCAAAAAUCAGUCCUAUACUAUAAAGAAAAUCAAAGAAAACAAGAAGAAAAACACAUGGGUUGCCUCUCAAAAAGCACCUGAUUUAACGUCGCGGCACGACGCAGGUUACCAUCACAUCAUUUGAAGUGAAGAAGUGCCACCACGUGGCUGUCAUCAAUUUUCCCAAGAUAAUGCUUGACCCGGUGCCCGUUAACUCUGAAGACUUCACCAUUUUUAUUUUUCAAAUCAAGAGCACUAAAAGGGGUCACAAACACAACUUCAAACGGUCCACUCUAUUUGGAUUUGAGUUUUCCCGGAAACAGACGUAAUCGAAAGUUAAACAAGAGAACCAAAUCACCUACUUUGAACUCCUUUCCACGAGCAUAUUUGUCAUAAAGGUACUUCAUCUUGUCCUUAUAGAAGGACGAACUGGAGUAGGCAUCGAAUCCAAAUUUAUCGAGUUCAUUGAGCUGCUCUACACGAAGAUUGACUGCAACAUCCCAUUCAAGAUUCAACUUUCUCAAAGCCCACAUAGCCUUGUGCUAACUCAACUGGAAGAUGGCAAGCUUUCCCAAAUACCAACCGAUACAGAGACAUACCAAUCAGAGUUUUAUAAGCCGUCCGAUAAGCCCAUAGAGCGCCAUCCAACUUCUUCGACCAAUCGGUCCUAUGUGCAUUGACCGUUUUUGACAAUAUGCUUUUGAUUUCCCGGUUGGAGACUUCCACUUGACCACUUACUUGAGGGUGAUAGGGGUAGAAACUUUGUGAUUGACACCGUACUUAGAAAGCAACGUGUUGAAAGCUUUAUUGCAAAAAAUGAGAUCCCCCUUCACUAAUAAUCGCACGGGGAGUGCCAAACCUUGUGAAAAUGCUCUUCUUAAGAAAUGCAACAACACUCCGGGCUUCAUUGUUAGGCAAAGUCACGGCUUCAACCCAUUUUGAGACAUAGUCAACCGCUACGAGAAUGUAAGUAUUCCCACAAGAGCUAACAAAUGAACCCAUGAAAUCGAUGCCCCAAACAUCAAAGAUAUCCACUUCAAGAAUGGUAUUGAGAGGCAUCUCAUCCCUUUUUGAAAUUCCACCCACUCUUUGGCAAUCGUCACACUUCUUCACAAAAUCACCCGCAUCUUUGAACAAGGUUGGCCAAUAGAAUCCACAACUAAGAACUUUCGAGGCGGUCCUCACCCCACCGUGAUGGCCACUGUCACACCUCCUUUUUCCUACACCCCCGGAGAGGUAUAAAUAAAGGGAGUUUUUCCAAUUAAAGGACAAUCGAAACGGAAUUUAUUAUAAAGAUUCAGAGUUGCCACUUGGGAGAUUUAUGAUAUCCCAAGUCACCGGUUGAAUCCCGAAUCGAGGAAAAGCUUGACUCUGUUUAACAGUCAGCGAACAUAGAAAUCCGGGUAAGGAAUUCUGUUAACCCGGGAGAAGGUGUUUGGCAUUCCCGAGUUCCGUGGUUCUAGCACGGUCGCCCAACUGUUAUAAUUGGCCUAUUAUCUGAUUUUAGUACAUGUUUUAACCUAUGUGCAUUUUUAACUUUUGAAAACCGCUUUUACUUAUUUAAAGAAUUAAUUCAAGGUUAUUUAAAAUAUAUCGCAAAUCACGCCACAUGAAAUGCACCCGUGGUUCACGACACGCUCUAUUUAACCUUGUUGGAAAUUAAAACCGAGUCACAUGAAAUGCACCCCCCCCCGAAUUUUAAUAGCCGUGACAAUUAUAACUAACGCGCCUAAGGUGAACUAUGAAUAUUUAUUAAUUAUUUUCCCUAAACUAAGUUAAGAUUGUUGUGAGGCAAGGAGCAAGAUCAAACGCUAGCCCAUUAAUAUAGUUAGCAAAAGGAAAUAACUGGAAACCUAUAAAAGGAAUCGAAACCUUAAUAAGCAGAGACAAAGGUAAUUGGCAAAAUGGCGUGGAAAAAUCUCCCGUGAAUUAUAAUAUUUGACAUACAAAACCAAGGCUAUUAAUAUUCAACAAUUUAAACAAGAUUCCAUAAGCUUUAUGUAUACUAAUCAUGUGUGCAUUUGAAAGUUUAAACAGACAGAAACUAUAAAAUUAUCAAGUCAGCAAAUAUACUAAGAAUAACCUAUAGGAAGUCUUGAAACAUGAAAUGAAACACUAAAACUCAGAUAAAUAAGCUCUUUCCUUGUAUAUAACUUCCUCCGUCCCAAAAAUAUUACCAGAUAAAGAAUGAUGAAAAUGGUCGACAUUAGCUACAGAAGAGAGCUCGAAUCGGAAUCGACGUCGAACAAUCUCGAUCAGCGGCAAAAAAAACGGACAGAAGGGGUUCAAGAGGUCUUCGGCUCUAAGGCUAUGUUCUCUUGGUUCUCAGCCGAAGAACAUGGGGUCAGCUGGUGUAUGAGAGGUGAGGGAGGGGUGUAAACAUUGGGUUGAAGACGGAGCAGUACGGUGGAGGGGUUCAAUUUUUGGCAAACGACGGACUGAUCCCUGACUUCCAGGCUUUAGGCGUUACUCCUAUUUUUGUGUAUUUCAGCUCUUUUCUAAUAUUAGUAUUAACCAAUUGAAAAAUAACAAGUAAGCUCGUGCCUUAUCCCACAAUGACUGGAGCAUACAGAGAUUUCAAAUUCAUGCUCAACUUCAACUAUUUUAGUUUGGUGAUUGGCAAAACAUUUGUAUAGUUCUAGACUUACAAGCUCAUCUUGGUAUACAAAAUCAACCAACUCUUUUAAUAAUAAAGACUGAAGUAAAACAAAUGGAAAUCAGCAAGUAUAGAAUAACAAUCCAGUUAUAUUUUGACAUGAAUCUCAUUGUGUACAACAUAGCUUUACUUUAAACAUGCUGAGACAGAAAUUCAUUUCAACAAGUCAAAUGGGGAAGGGAAUAAAGAGAGAGACAUAUAACAAAACAAAGAUCUUCAUUAUCUCCUCAAAACAUCACAUGAAUCAGCCUUUACAUUUAAGAUCGAGGUAUGUACCUGAAUGUAAGAAGGAAGCAAAAGAAGUGAGGUUUCAGUAAGAAAACAGCAGCAACAAAACAAUACCAGCAGAGCCACUUUCAAACCAUAAAAUGAUAUGCAAUAGUCCAGAAAAAGUUUUAAUCGAACAGUAAAUACCACAACUUCAAACCAAACUUCUACAAACCCAGGUUCAGUUCAUUUUUAAUCCCAGAUGAUUCAAAAAUGGAUUCAGAAGUUGAAAAAACCUUAAGGAAUUCAGAAGAGAAUUUAAUGGAAUAGAAAACCAACACAAAGCUUGAACUAAUUUUUUUUCCAGACAGAGUUGGUUUCAAUGCAUUUCAAAUCCCAGAAUAAGAAACUAUGAUUUCAUAAGUUUCCUUCACCAAAUGAAAGCAGAAUACUCCUAAAUGAGCAGAGUUUGAGCAGUUUUAAAACAAAUGAUGUAAUGAUUUCAGAAUUUUCCAAAGGUAUUCCUCUGUUUUGUUUCCUCUCUAUUUUUCUUAUCUCUUUCAAACUCUAUCUUUCAGUGUUUUUUCAGAGUAUUCUUGUAUCUCUC
RNAcentral lists this long non-coding RNA (29249 nucleotides) under Nicotiana tabacum (common tobacco). RNAcentral describes it as "long non-coding RNA (NTAB_LNC012409)". The record is from RNAcentral. Lineage: Eukaryota; Viridiplantae; Streptophyta; Magnoliopsida; Solanales; Solanaceae.